RNAcentral lists this ribosomal RNA (490 nucleotides) under uncultured bacterium. RNAcentral describes it as "partial 16S ribosomal RNA". It matches the Rfam family "Bacterial small subunit ribosomal RNA", at positions 30 to 507 of the family's 1533-position model. The record is from RNAcentral.
AUUGAACGCUGGCGGCAUGCUUUACACAUGCAAGUCGAACGGCAGCGGGGUAGUGCUUGCACUACUGCCGGCGAGUGGCGAACGGGUGAGUAAUAUAUCGGAACGUACCGAGUAAUGGGGGAUAACCAAUCGAAAGAUUGGCUAAUACCGCAUACGUCCUGAGGGAGAAAGCGGGGGAUCGCAAGACCUCGCGUUAUUCGAGCGGCCGUUAACUGAUUCGCUAGUUGGUGGGGUAAAGGCCUACCAAGGCGACGAUCAGUAGCGGGUCUGAGAGGACGAUCCGCCACACUGGGACUGAGACACGGCCCAGACUCCUACGGGAGGCAGCAGUGGGGAAUUUUGGACAAUGGGGGCAACCCUGAUCCAGCCAUGCCGCGUGUAUGAAGAGGGCCUUCGGGUUGUAAAGUACUUUUGUUAGGGAAGAAAAGGGAAGUGCUAAUACCACUUUUUGCUGACGGUACCUAAAGAAUAAGCACCGGCUAACUACGUG